RNAcentral lists this ribosomal RNA (403 nucleotides) under Verrucomicrobiota bacterium. RNAcentral's name for it is "Verrucomicrobia bacterium partial 16S ribosomal RNA". It matches the Rfam family "Bacterial small subunit ribosomal RNA", at positions 355 to 776 of the family's 1533-position model. The record is from RNAcentral. Lineage: Bacteria; Pseudomonadati; Verrucomicrobiota.
UGGGGAAUAUUGCACAAUGGGCGCAAGCCUGAUGCAGCAACGCCGCGUGAACGAUGAAGGUCUUCGGAUCGUAAAGUUCUGUUGCAGGGGAAGAUAAUGACGGUACCCUGUGAGGAAGCCCCGGCUAACCACGUGCCAGCAGCCGCGGUAAUACGUAGGGGGCUAGCGUUAUCCGGAUUUACUGGGCGGAAAGGGGGCGUAGGUGGUCUUUCAAGUCGGUGGUUAAAGGCUACGGCUCAACCGUAGUUAGCCUCCGAAACUGGAAGACUUGAGUGCAAGAGAGGAAAGUGGAAUUCCCGGUGUAGGGGUGAAAUGCGUAGAUAUUGGGAGGAACACCAGUAGCGAAGGCGGCUUUCUGGACUGCAACUGACCCUGAGGCACGAAAGCGUGGGUAGCAAACAGG